UACGGGGGGUGCGAGCGUUGUCCGGAAUCACUGGGCGUAAAGGGCGCGUAGGCGGUGGGAUAAGCGUGUGGUGAAAGCCCGGGGCUCAACCCCGGGUCUGCCGUGCGAACUGUUUCACUCGAGCACUGUAGAGGCAGGUGGAAUUCCGGGUGUAGCGGUGGAAUGCGUAGAGAUCCGGAAGAACAUCGGUGGCGAAGGCGGCCUGCUGGGCAGUGUCUGACGCUGAGGCGCGACAGCGUGGGGAGCAAACAGG
RNAcentral lists this ribosomal RNA (253 nucleotides) under uncultured bacterium. Its description in RNAcentral is "partial 16S ribosomal RNA". It matches the Rfam family "Bacterial small subunit ribosomal RNA", at positions 524 to 776 of the family's 1533-position model. The record is from RNAcentral.